RNAcentral lists this ribosomal RNA (497 nucleotides) under uncultured bacterium. Its description in RNAcentral is "partial 16S ribosomal RNA". It matches the Rfam family "Bacterial small subunit ribosomal RNA", at positions 28 to 507 of the family's 1533-position model. The record is from RNAcentral.
GACGAACGCUGGCGGCGUGCCUAAUACAUGCAAGUUGAGCGCUGAAGGUUGGUACUUGUACCGACUGGAUGAGCAGCGAACGGGUGAGUAACGCGUGGGGAAUCUGCCUUUGAGCGGGGGACAACAUUUGGAAACGAAUGCUAAUACCGCAUAAAAACUUUAAACACAAGUUUUAAGUUUGAAAGAUGCAAUUGCAUCACUCAAAGAUGAUCCCGCGUUGUAUUAGCUAGUUGGUGAGGUAAAGGCGCACCAAGGCGAUGUUACAUAGCCGACCUGAGAGGGUGAUCGGCCACAUUGGGACUGAGACACGGCCCAAACUCCUACGGGAGGCAGCAGUAGGGAAUCGUCGGCGAUGGACGAAAGUCUGACCGAGCAACGCCGCGUGAGUGAAGAAGGUUGUCGGAUCGUAAAACUCGGUUGGUAGAGAAGAACGUUGGUGAGAGUGGAAAGCUCAUCAAGUGACGGUAACUACCCAGAAAGGGACGGCUAACUACGUG